This is a long non-coding RNA of Cotesia glomerata, 94 nucleotides long. RefSeq lists it as uncharacterized. Lineage: Eukaryota; Metazoa; Arthropoda; Insecta; Hymenoptera; Braconidae. The transcript has 2 exons. The record is from RefSeq and is a predicted model, not a curated record.
CUCCGGUUUAUGCACCAGCCUAGAGCUUCGAGAAGGUUCAGUAACAUGCGUCUCAAUAUGACGAGAGUACUCAACGCUAUGUAGCAAAAACGCG